GAUGAACGCUAGCGGGAGGCCUAACACAUGCAAGUCGAACGGGAUUGGUAGCAAUACCAUGAGAGUGGCGCACGGGUGAGUAACGCGUAUGCAACCUGCCUUUAACUGAGGGAUAGCCCAUAGAAAUGUGGAUUAAUACCUCAUAGUUCUGAGAAGCUGCAUGGUUUUUCAGAUAAAGCUCCGGCGGUUAAAGAUGGGCAUGCGUGACAUUAGCUAGUUGGUAAGGUAACGGCUUACCAAGGCUACGAUGUCUAGGGGUUCUGAGAGGAUGAUCCCCCACACUGGUACUGAGACACGGACCAGACUCCUACGGGAGGCAGCAGUGAGGAGUAUUGGUCAAUGGGCGCAAGCCUGAACCAGCCAUCCCGCGUGCAGGAUGACGGCCCUAUGGGUUGUAAACUGCUUUUGUACAGGAAGAAAAAUCCCUACGUGUAGGGACCUGCCGGUACUGUACGAAUAAGCAUCGGCUAACUCCGUGCCAGCAGCCG
Molecule: ribosomal RNA, 488 nt
Filed under: uncultured bacterium
Lineage: Bacteria
Description: bacterial SSU rRNA
Rfam family: Bacterial small subunit ribosomal RNA
Source: RNAcentral